RNAcentral lists this non-coding RNA (29 nucleotides) under Mus musculus (house mouse). Lineage: Eukaryota; Metazoa; Chordata; Mammalia; Rodentia; Muridae. The record is from RNAcentral.
UAGCAAGUAACCUUUUCAGGCAUUGGUUG